UGGGGAAUUUUGGACAAUGGGGGAAACCCUGAUCCAGCCAUCCCGCGUGUGCGAUGAAGGCCUUCGGGUUGUAAAGCACUUUUGGCAGGAAAGAAACGUCGCGGGUUAAUACCCCGCGAAACUGACGGUACCUGCAGAAUAAGCACCGGCUAACUACGUGCCAGCAGCCGCGGUAAUACGUAGGGUGCAAGCGUUAAUCGGAAUUACUGGGCGUAAAGCGUGCGCAGGCGGUUCGGAAAGAAAGAUGUGAAAUCCCAGAGCUUAACUUUGGAACUGCAUUUUUAACUACCGGGCUAGAGUGUGUCAGAGGGAGGUGGAAUUCCGCGUGUAGCAGUGAAAUGCGUAGAUAUGCGGAGGAACACCGAUGGCGAAGGCAGCCUCCUGGGAUAACACUGACGCUCAUGCACGAAAGCGUGGGGAGCAAACAGGAUUAGAUACCCUGGUAGUCCACGCCCUAAACGAUGUCAACUAGCUGUUGGGGCCUUCGGGCCUUGGUAGCGCAGCUAACGCGUGAAGUUGACCGCCUGGGAGUACGGUCGCAAGAUUAAAACUUAAAGGAAUUGACGGGGGUGC
RNAcentral lists this ribosomal RNA (573 nucleotides) under uncultured bacterium. RNAcentral's name for it is "partial 16S ribosomal RNA". It matches the Rfam family "Bacterial small subunit ribosomal RNA", at positions 355 to 922 of the family's 1533-position model. The record is from RNAcentral.